Molecule: ribosomal RNA, 366 nt
Filed under: uncultured fungus
Lineage: Eukaryota; Fungi
Description: eukaryotic LSU rRNA
Rfam family: 5.8S ribosomal RNA (bases 1-120)
Source: RNAcentral
AUGAAGAACGCAGCGAAAUGCGAUAAGUAAUGUGAAUUGCAGAAUUCAGUGAAUCCAUCGGAUCUUUGAACGCACCUUGCGCUCCUUGGUAUUCCGAGGAGCAUGCCUGUUUGAGCGUCGUGAAUCUCUCAACCCACAGAUUUCUUUCUGUGCGGCUUGGACUUGGAGGCAUUGCUGGCGAUGGUCAGCUCCUCUCAAAUGUAUUAGCUGGGCUUAGCUCGGUGGAACGGUUAGUGUGAUAAUUAUCUGCGCUGCCUACUACAUCGGAUCCCGCUUCUAAUCGUCCGCAAGGACAAUUCACUUUGAAUCUGACCUCAAAUCAGGUAGGACUACCCGCUGAACUUAAGCAUAUCAAUAAGCGGAGGA